GACGAACGCUGGCGGCGUGCCUAAUACAUGCAAGUUGAGCGAUGAAGCUUGGUGCUUGCUCCAAUUUGAAGAGCAGCGAACGGGUGAGUAACGCGUGGGGAAUCUGCCUUUGAGCGGGGGACAACAUCUGGAAACGAAUGCUAAUACCGCAUAACAACUUUAAACAUAAGUUUUAAGUUUGAAAGAUGCAAUUGCAUCACUCAAAGAUGAUCCCGCGUUGUAUUAGCUAGUUGGUGAGGUAAAGGCUCAACAAGGCGAUGAUACAUAGCCCACCUGAGAGGGUGGACGGCCACCUUGGGACUGGGACACGGGCCAAACCCCUAAGGGGAGCAACAGUAGGGAAACCUCGGGAAAGGAGGAAAGGCUGGACGAGGAACGCCGGGGGAGGGAAGAAGGUUUUCGGGUCGUAAAACUCCGUUGGUAGGGAAGAACGUUGGUGGGAAUGGAAAGCUCAUCAAGUGACGGUAACUACUCAGAAAGGGACGGCUAACUACGUG
This 497-nucleotide ribosomal RNA is filed under the name uncultured bacterium. RNAcentral describes it as "partial 16S ribosomal RNA". It matches the Rfam family "Bacterial small subunit ribosomal RNA", at positions 28 to 507 of the family's 1533-position model. The record is from RNAcentral.